This 281-nucleotide long non-coding RNA is filed under the name Elaeis guineensis (African oil palm). RNAcentral describes it as "long non-coding RNA (EGUI_LNC071370)". Lineage: Eukaryota; Viridiplantae; Streptophyta; Magnoliopsida; Arecales; Arecaceae. The record is from RNAcentral.
CUGACUUCUCAAGCUCCUCAAACUCCUUGAUCACAGUCAUAUAGUGAUCGUAGACUGACUGCCUGUCAUGCAUCUUCAUAUUAAACAACCACUUGGAUAAUUUAAAGUAUGCUAUCCAGUUCUGCUCACCAUACAACUCUUGCAGGUGAGUGAUCAUGGCACGGACAGUGGAUAUAUGCUCAUACUGGCUCUAUAACUCGUUUGACAUGGAAGCCAGCACAUAGCACUUCACCCUAAGGUCAUCAUCUAUCCACUUAUCCAGAGUAGCUUUUUGCCCUAUC